Molecule: ribosomal RNA, 420 nt
Filed under: Achromobacter sp. As32
Lineage: Bacteria; Pseudomonadati; Pseudomonadota; Betaproteobacteria; Burkholderiales; Alcaligenaceae
Description: bacterial SSU rRNA
Rfam family: Bacterial small subunit ribosomal RNA
Source: RNAcentral
ACGGCAGCACGGACUUCGGUCUGGUGGCGAGUGGCGAACGGGUGAGUAAUGUAUCGGAACGUGCCUAGUAGCGGGGGAUAACUACGCGAAAGCGUAGCUAAUACCGCAUACGCCCUACGGGGGAAAGCAGGGGAUCGCAAGACCUUGCACUAUUAGAGCGGCCGAUAUCGGAUUAGCUAGUUGGUGGGGUAACGGCUCACCAAGGCGACGAUCCGUAGCUGGUUUGAGAGGACGACCAGCCACACUGGGACUGAGACACGGCCCAGACUCCUACGGGAGGCAGCAGUGGGGAAUUUUGGACAAUGGGGGAAACCCUGAUCCAGCCAUCCCGCGUGUGCGAUGAAGGCCUUCGGGUUGUAAAGCACUUUUGGCAGGAAAGAAACGUCAUGGGCUAAUACCCCGUGAAACUGACGGUACCUG